Sebastes umbrosus (honeycomb rockfish) is the source of this 452-nucleotide long non-coding RNA. RefSeq lists it as uncharacterized. Lineage: Eukaryota; Metazoa; Chordata; Actinopteri; Perciformes; Sebastidae. The transcript has 3 exons. The record is from RefSeq and is a predicted model, not a curated record.
CCAUUCCUCUCUCUUCCUCCACAUCUCAGUGUAUUUAAUAUGUUAGUAUAGUGAAUAGAAAGAUUCCCCAGCUGCUCUAUAGGUCACUGUGAUGAAUUGUCAUAUUGGAUGCACAGUGUGAUAACAGGCCUAAGUGAUUGUCAGAUACACUAAUGAGGAUGAUGGAUGUUUCUAACUGAGAAGAUCACAGUUCUUUCAUCUUAAGUGUCCAACUCCGAGAGACCUGACAGAAACUUCAGACCGAGCCACGACUGAGGGCACAAUGAAUAGCAACAUUGUGUCUGAACAAUGCUUGACAAACAUGGCGGUGGCAUAAAAGCAGGAAGCUGGCAUGGCAGGCUAAGACAAAGCAGAAUGGCACCAAGACAUGCCCUGAAAGCUACACUAUAUCAAUUAUGUGAAAGACGCCUAUAACUAAACAAGACUCAGUCCAAACCGAGUAGAUGUCUGGA